UACGGGGGGGGUAAGCGUUGUUCGGAAUUACUGGGCGUAAAGGGCUCGUAGGCGGCCAACUAAGUCAGCCGUGAAAUCCCAUGGCUCAACCAUGGAAGUGCACUCGAAACUGCAGAGCUAGAGUCCUGGAGAGGAAGGUGGAAUGCUUGGUGUAGAGGUGAAAUUCGUAGAUAUCAAGCGGAACACCGGUGGCGAAGGCGGCCUUCUGGACAGUGACUGACGCUGAGACGCGAAAGCGUGGGGAGCAAACAGG
This 253-nucleotide ribosomal RNA is filed under the name uncultured bacterium. RNAcentral describes it as "partial 16S ribosomal RNA". It matches the Rfam family "Bacterial small subunit ribosomal RNA", at positions 524 to 776 of the family's 1533-position model. The record is from RNAcentral.